GAGCAUACUAAAUAAAUAUAUCUGAAGACAUUUGAAAUAUAUAAAUAUUGUCUUCUUAUUGCCAGUGUUUGGUUCACCAUUCCUUCUUGAUCUUCAGUGAAUGCUAACAGUGGGAGUGUGAAGAAGCCAGAAUUUAGUGUCGAAGGGCCAGAUACUGUCCUGGACACUUUACUUACUGUAGUUCAUCUAUUUCCAUGGUUACCUCCAGAGUCAGGGGACGCAGACAUUUGUAGCUGCUUCUAGAAGACACUGAGUGGACCCUUUGGGAAGUCACUCUCUGGAGGUGGUGCUGAGAAUGUAAAUGAAGCUUUCCGGCUCCUGGGAAGUUAUAGACUUGUUCUUGGAGGCAAGAGAAGCCACAGACUGGAGCAGCUGAAAAUUUCCCAAGUGAUAGACUGGGGCAAGGGACAGGCAAGGUGGAAGGUACAGCUGUAAUGAGAGAUGCCCCAGGAGGAACAGUUGCCAGAAGACACUGCUGGCAGCCCCUGUGAAGGGGAGCAGCUGGAAACCAGCAUUGGGAGCAGCAUGGAACAGCAUGAAGAGGGGGCUCUGGCUUGGGCUGGCCCCAGCCUGAUUUUCCCUGGGGGGAGGGGAGGGCUGUGCUAAUUAUCUGCUCAAUAUCAAGACGGCACCUGGAAAUAAAUAUUUUGUUGUAA
Molecule: long non-coding RNA, 656 nt
Filed under: Homo sapiens (human)
Lineage: Eukaryota; Metazoa; Chordata; Mammalia; Primates; Hominidae
Description: HSALNT0377172
Source: RNAcentral